RNAcentral lists this ribosomal RNA (445 nucleotides) under uncultured Thauera sp. Its description in RNAcentral is "bacterial SSU rRNA". It matches the Rfam family "Bacterial small subunit ribosomal RNA", at positions 936 to 1382 of the family's 1533-position model. Lineage: Bacteria; Pseudomonadati; Pseudomonadota; Betaproteobacteria; Rhodocyclales; Zoogloeaceae. The record is from RNAcentral.
AUGAUGUGGAUUAAUUCGAUGCAACGCGAAAAACCUUUACCUACCCUUGACAUGUCUGGAACCUUGCUGAGAGGCGAGGGUGCCUUCGGGAGCCAGAACACAGGUGCUGCAUGGCUGUCGUCAGCUCGUGUCGUGAGAUGUUGGGUUAAGUCCCGCAACGAGCGCAACCCUUGUCAUUAGUUGCCAUCAUUUAGUUGGGCACUCUAAUGAGACUGCCGGUGACAAACCGGAGGAAGUGGGGAUGACGUCAAGUCCUCAUGGCCCUUAUGGGUAGGGCUUCACACGUCAUACAAUGGUCGGUACAGAGGGUUGCCAAGCCGCGAGGUGGAGCCAAUCCCUUAAAGCCGAUCGUAGUCCGGAUUGCAGGCUGCAAUUCGCCUGCAUGAAGUCGGAAUCGCUAGUAAUCGCAGGUCAGCAUACUGCGGUGAAUACGUUCCCGGGCCUU